GGUGAGUAACACGUAAGUAAUCUACCUUCGAGUGGGGAAUAACCCGGGGAAACCCGAGCUAAUACCGCAUAACGCAUCGGCAUCGCAAGAUCGCAGUUGUUAAAUGAGCAAUCCGCUUGAAGAGGAGCUUGCGGCAGAUUAGCUAGUUGGUAAGGUAACGGCUUACCAAGGCUACGAUCUGUAUCCGGUCUAAGAGGACGGUCGGACACACUGACACUGAAUAACGGGUCAGACUCCUACGGGAGGCAGCAGUCGGGAAUUUUGGGCAAUGGGCGAAAGCCUGACCCAGCAACGCCGCGUGAAGGAUGAAGUAUUUCGGUAUGUAAACUUCGAAAGAAUAGGAAGAAUAAAUGACGGUACUAUUUAUAAGCUCC
This 374-nucleotide ribosomal RNA is filed under the name grassland soil clone saf3_004. Its description in RNAcentral is "bacterial SSU rRNA". It matches the Rfam family "Bacterial small subunit ribosomal RNA", at positions 105 to 494 of the family's 1533-position model. The record is from RNAcentral.